This 343-nucleotide unclassified non-coding RNA is filed under the name soil metagenome. RNAcentral describes it as "partial contains 5.8S ribosomal RNA, internal transcribed spacer 2, and large subunit ribosomal RNA". The stretch from base 1 to 120 matches the Rfam family "5.8S ribosomal RNA", at positions 35 to 154 of the family's 154-position model. The record is from RNAcentral.
GAUGAAGAACGUAGCGAAAUGCAAUAAGUAAUGUGAAUUGCAGAAUUCAGUGAAUCAUCGAAUCUUUGAACGCACAUUGCGCCCGCUAGUAUUCUGGCGGGCAUGCCUGUCCGAGCGUCAUUUCAACCCUCAAGCCCCCGGGCUUGGUGUUGGGGAUCGGCGAGCCUCCGCGCCCGCCGUCCCCUAAAUCUAGUGGCGGUCUCGCUGUAGCUUCCUCUGCGUAGUAGCACACCUCGCACUGGGAAACAGCGCGGCCACGCCGUUAAACCCCCAACUUCUGAACGUUUGACCUCGGAUCAGGUAGGAAUACCCGCUGAACUUAAGCAUAUCAAUAAGCGGAGGA